UCUCUGCAAAUAUUUCUCUCUCUCUCUUUAAUUAAUUCCUACUACCUAAAAGUUGAAAGAAGACUGUUUUUUUUCUUCUUCUAAAACUUCAUGUGCCUUCUUCUUCUUCACAGAUAUAAAGAGAAAAAAAGGAGGAGGAUAUAGGGUAUGCAAAGGCAACAAUCUGCUAUUUAUGUUAACUUAAAUAUAGGGAGUUAUAAUAGCAAAUAGAACAGAGAAUGCUCACAUAAAGGAGAGACAUAUGGUUGAGAUAAUGGUGGGAUGGAAGCCACCUUGUGUGGGGUGGAUGAAACUGAACACGGACGGGGCAUCACAUGGGAACCCGGGGCCGGCGGCUGCAGGGGGAGCACUGCGAAACGGAGAAGGCGAGUGGUGUGGCGGUUUUGCGAUUAAUAUAGGUAGCUGUACGGCACCAUUAGCGGAGUUAUGGGGUGUGUACUAUGGUUUAGUGGUUGCUUGGGAGAAAGGGGUGAGAAGGCUGGAGGUAGAGGUCAACUCUAUGAUGGUGAUGGAGUUUCUUACGAUAGGGAUUGGGGACACUCAUCCGCUGUCUUUCCUGGUACGCUUGUGCCAUGGCUUCUUGACAAGGGACUGGCUAGUCCGAUUUGUUCAUGUAUAUAGGGAAGCAAACCGCUUAGCUGAUGGUUUGGCUAACCUUGCAUUUACUCUUCCGUUUGGUUUUCAUAGUUUUGUUGUGGCCCCGAUUGAGGUCGCUGUUUUAGUUCAUGAGGAUGUUGCUGGACCGUUGUGGCCACGACAAACUCGUCUUGUAAGCUGAAGUUUGGGUUUCUUUUUUAAAUAAAUUGGGAGUCACUCUCCCAUAUUCCUACCAAAAAAAAAAAAACCAUUAAUUUAUAAAACAAAUCACAUGCUCUUUUAUUCUCAUUAUCUUUAAUAUUUAAUAUUUAGUAAUUAUUCAAUUAAAGGGGAUGUAUUAAAUAUAAUAUUUGAGGUGAUUUGACUUUUAUCCAAGUUUUAGUUGAUUUCAAUAAGUUGCAGAUAUUUAUGUGAUUUUUGUUAAACUAUUCUAAAAUAUAACUUAAAACCAUGUGAUUUGAAUUUUAUUUUAUUUUUAACUAAGAAACUCUACCUAAACAUUCUAAAAUCACUGAAGUCACAACUUAAAAUAUUUUCAAUAAAAGUAAAUUUUAGAAUAUUCUACGAAAUGAUAAAUUCAAUAAUAGUGGAUUUUAAAUAAGUUUUAAAAAUUUAUGUUUGAAUAAUAGUGAAUUUGUCAUUUUAAUACAAAUCACGUAAAACUCUUGUUUAAUUAUUUUACCAACAUUUUUUGUUUAAUCAUUAACUUUAGUUAGGUAAUCGGUUUAAUGAAAUUAUUGUACUAGUAUAUUUUAGUAGAUGACUUUCACUAAUAGACGUACGUGUCACAUUCCGAUUUAAGUCUUGUAAUUUACAAUAUAUUUAUUUGUCAUAUAUACAGAUUUAAUCCGAAAUACACGAAAGUUUAUUCGUAACUUCUAACCUUUGGACUAAAUAAACCAAACAUCAUAUUCGCAUACCAUUUAAAAAUUAAACAAAAUAAUAAUCAAAACUUCUGUCAUUUUCAGUAUAAGAAUAAUAUUUUAUCCGUAUAAUUAAGAUAAGAAAAGAAUUGGAUGUUCUUAUUUUCUGGAAAUACCGGUAAAAUAUCUUAAUAAUUAUAAUUUAAGGGGAAUCAUUACAUCAUCAUUUUUAUAAUUUAUAAACCUUUUUUGGUCAAACUUCAAACUAUGUUUGUAUAUAUCUGUUAGCGUAGGAACAAACCAUAUUCAUAACCUAUAUAAUUGAAUCUUUAAUCAACUAAAACUCCAUAUAUAGAAUGGUUCUGCACAACAGAAAGAAUUUGGUCUUUGUAUUUUCCUGUAAACAUCACGAAAAUAUAACCGGUCUCGCAAUUAUAAAAUGGGUUAAAACCUAGUUGCAAUCAUUUUAUUUCGAAAUGUUUUGAUAGAAAUCCAUUAAUUCGACCCUAAUUACUCUUUGCAUUGACUAUUUGACCAGAAAACAAAACUAUUUGUAUGGAACAUAUUUUUAUCACAAUAAAGAACAAAAAUCAUAGAAAGAAAAUAACGUGAAUGUUGUUCAGAAAAAAAAAGAAAAUAACGUGAAUAAUAAUGGUCCCACGUUCAGCGGUAAACCGGUGGAUGAUCGACAGGUAGAGGAAGAAAAAGUCUAUUUUGGUGAACGAGAGAGUGUGACGUGUACGGUUCGAGAUGUGUUAGACGAGAGAAAAAAAGAUUCAUUGCACUGACAAAGACAACCCAUUAAAUUUCGUAAAUAUCUUGUCUUUAAACUCUCUCUCUUGAUGUCAAAAAAAAAAAAAAAAAAAAGCUCUCUCUCUUUUUUUUUCUUGAAUCUUAUAUGUCAAAUAAAUAAUAUACUAUUGGUUGUCAACAGAACGUUACUAGUAUACAACAUAUUUUUAUCAAGUUCCAUAUGUUUUGUGCCACUUGUGCUGUAUUUCUUUUGGACAAUGUGUAAAUGAAAUGGAAAUGUGAAAGUUGGUUCUGGAGUAUGGGCAGUGAACAAAAUACCCAAGACACCUCAAAUUCAAUGAACCAAUAUAAAAAAGUUGUACAACAUAGAUAUUUUGAAAUCAAUAUGAUAUAUAAGAGGCUCUUAUAUAUCUUAGAGAAAUUGAGAAGAUGGCCAAGAAAACAUGUAUUGUAGUGGAUAGAUGUUUUAAUAUAUGUUUGCUUAUUUUUUAUGUUAAUACUUUUAGCUUUCCUUGCGGGGAAUGCGGUUAAGGGAAGAAGCAAGGAGGUUCAACGUAAUCAAAACCUAACCAGUAACCAGAAUCAAAAGAAUUGUACUAUAUACCAGGUUACUUAUAUGUUUUGUGAUAUUCUGAAAAUAAUGAAUAAAGUGGUCUAUCUUUACAUCCCAUUCAUAUAAUUGAUGCCUCCCAUUAUUGGUGAAACAGACUAUUUGAGUAUUAUGAUAUGCAACAUACUCUUGUUUCCAUUAACAAAAGAAAAGGCUUUAUUUUUUUACAACAAAAACAUUCACAGACUACAAAAGAAAAGGCUUAUUUUAUCAACUCUUGAGUUUUCUGACAAAAAAAAAGCUUUCAACUCUUGAGUAUUUUUUUCCAACAAACUCAUGACAACAUCAUAAGUAAAUGGACCACAUCCUGAGUAGUGUUUCUAUGAUUAUCAAUUCAUCCCAAUCAUUACAGUUUAUUCUGAGAAUCAUUACGUGUAAUGGAUCAAGUACUAACUACGAAUCAGUAUGUAUCAAUGCUGCUAGUGUUAACCAUUCCUGCAUGCGGUUGAUCACCAUAUAGAAAUUUCGGGAGCUUAGAGAGAUAAGCAUCAAUAUGUGGCCAGCUUAUAUAUUAUUUCCCUAUGACCUAUGUUACUAGUCCAUCAUAUCUACAUGUCUUCUUCAGUUCAAUGACAACAAAAAAAGCUUUUGUAAAUAUCAAUUACGCUAGGCUUCCCUUUAGAUGGGCAUUAUUAUUGGAGGCCCAAUAAAAUUCCUGAAUGAAAUCGAUAUCGAUAUUGGAAAGUGGAAAUUAUAUUAGUCAAUAAGAGUCUUCUUCGUCUGUGAGAGACUUGCCAAUUGCCAUCUCGAAGUUUCACCGUUCUCUGACUCUUAAGACAAAAUGGUGAUGAUUCUGGACUCCACUGAUUUUUAUAAUGAGCUUCAGAGUCAGUGUUUUCCUGUUUUGGUGUUAUAACUUUCUUAUUAGUUUUCGACUUGAUGAUUGAAUAUCUGCUGCAGAAAUUUUGUUUUUCAAAUAAGGAACGUUACAUCAUUAGUCAUUUAUAUCUGAAAAAUUUACAUUUACGCAUACUUUUUCUCAAGUCCAUAUAACUUACACCAGUACCGUGCGAAGAGUUUUAAGGGCCUAAGGCAAGUUUUAAAAAUAAAUUUAUUUACAACCGUAAUGAAAAUAAUUUUCUAAUAUAAUCUAUUAUUUUCACCAAAUUCACAAGUCUAAUACAAUAAAAGAAUAAUUUUAUAACAUAAAUAUGUUAUAUUAUGUCAUAUAGAAAAAAAAUACAUGAUAACAAAAAAUAAAUUAAUUAAUUUUCGUAGAAAUGUUUUUUUUUAAUAAGUCUAAACCACUAUACUAGAAAUUAUUUUAAAUUUUAGGGCCCUAAAAACAGUCAUAUUAAUC
Molecule: long non-coding RNA, 4123 nt
Organism: Brassica rapa (field mustard)
Lineage: Eukaryota; Viridiplantae; Streptophyta; Magnoliopsida; Brassicales; Brassicaceae
Source: RefSeq, a predicted model, not a curated record